Molecule: ribosomal RNA, 391 nt
Filed under: uncultured bacterium
Lineage: Bacteria
Description: bacterial SSU rRNA
Rfam family: Bacterial small subunit ribosomal RNA
Source: RNAcentral
AGCGAACGUUUGCGGCGGGCCUAACACAUGCAAGUCGAACGCACUAGCAAUAGUGAGUGGCGCACGGGUGCGUAACACGUGGGUAAUCAACCCUUCAGCCUGGGAUAACGACUCGAAAGGGUCGCUAAUACCGGAUACGGCGCGAGAGGCUUCGGCUUCUCACGAGAAAGCCACGCAAGGGGCACUGAAGGACGAGCCUGCGGCCCAUCAGCUAGUUGGUGAGGUAAGAGCUCACCAAGGCUAAGACGGGUAGCUGGUCUGAGAGGGUGAUCAGCCACACUGGAACUGAGACACGGUCCAGACUCCUACGGGAGGCAGCAGUGGGGAAUAUUGCGCAAUGGGCGAAAGCCUGACGCAGCCACGCCGCGUGAGCGAUGAAGGCCUUCGGGUC